GUGCCUAACACAUGCAAGUCGAGCGAUCUUCUUCGGAAGGGAGCGGCGGACGGGUGAGUAACGCGUGGGUAACCUGCCCUGUACACACGGAUAACAUACCGAAAGGUAUGCUAAUACGGGAUAACAUAAGAAAGUCGCAUGGCUUUCUUAUCAAAGCUUUUGCGGUACAGGAUGGACCCGCGUCUGAUUAGCUAGUUGGUAAGGUAACGGCUUACCAAGGCGACGAUCAGUAGCCGACCUGAGAGGGUGAUCGGCCACAUUGGAACUGAGACACGGUCCAAACUCCUACGGGAGGCAGCAGUGGGGAAUAUUGCACAAUGGGCGAAAGCCUGAUGCAGCAACGCCGCGUGAGCGAUGAAGGCCUUCGGGUCGUAAAGCUCUGUCCUCAAGGAAGAUAAUGACGGUACUUGAGGAGGAAGCCCCGGCUAACUACGUGCCAGCAGCCGCGGUAAUACGUAGGGGGCUAGCGUUAUCCGGAAUUACUGGGCGUAAAGGGUGCGUAGGCGGUCUUUCAAGUCAGAAGUGAAAGGCUACGGCUCAACCGUAGUAAGCUUUUGAAACUGUAAGACUUGAGUGCAGGAGAGGAGAGUGGAAUUCCUAGUGUAGCGGUGAAAUGCGUAGAUAUUAGGAGGAACACCAGUUGCGAAGGCGGCUCUCUGGACUGUAACUGACGCUGAGGCACGAAAGCGUGGGGAGCAAACAGG
This 704-nucleotide ribosomal RNA is filed under the name uncultured Clostridium sp. Its description in RNAcentral is "bacterial SSU rRNA". It matches the Rfam family "Bacterial small subunit ribosomal RNA", at positions 44 to 776 of the family's 1533-position model. Lineage: Bacteria; Bacillati; Bacillota; Clostridia; Eubacteriales; Clostridiaceae. The record is from RNAcentral.